RNAcentral lists this ribosomal RNA (95 nucleotides) under Jaculus jaculus (lesser Egyptian jerboa). The record is from RNAcentral. Lineage: Eukaryota; Metazoa; Chordata; Mammalia; Rodentia; Dipodidae.
GUAUAUGGCCAUGCCACCCUGAAUGUGCUAAGUAGAGUUGGGCCUGGUUAGUAGUUGGAUGGGAGACUGCCUGGGAAUACCAGAUGCCAUAGGCU